Long non-coding RNA from Columba livia (rock pigeon), 422 nucleotides. RefSeq lists it as uncharacterized. The transcript is spliced from 3 exons. Lineage: Eukaryota; Metazoa; Chordata; Aves; Columbiformes; Columbidae. The record is from RefSeq and is a predicted model, not a curated record.
GAAAGCUCUGACCAGCAGUCUUCUGUCUGUGAAACAGAGACAUUCUUCCAUUUAUCUCCUUCCAGUAUUCCUGUAAGUCCAGAGGACAACAGGACCUCAGGCAAGAGAAACAGAGGUAACACCAAUAACAGUACCUACAGAUGCGUGCAGUUGAUAAAGCAUCUUGCUCUGCAGGCUUAGUGAAGUCUCUUAGGACAGCAGGACUGUGAGAACAGCUCAGUCCCACAGGAUAUCGCCGAAAGCCCAGACCAACCCAGCUCAAACCUCUCUACAGACAUGCUGAGCAUCCCUGUUGGUACUAUCUGGAGAAAACCCACGUCCACUACAAAUGGAUCUACAAAUCCUCCUGGGAGCCCCCAUUUUCCUUCCAGAACAUUCUAUGACAUGGGGAGCCUGCACCUUUACGUCACCAGGCACUGUCC